This 1051-nucleotide long non-coding RNA is filed under the name Pan troglodytes (chimpanzee). RNAcentral describes it as "long non-coding RNA NONPTRT006920". Lineage: Eukaryota; Metazoa; Chordata; Mammalia; Primates; Hominidae. The record is from RNAcentral.
CAGGGGUGUGCCCAUCGCUCCCACUCUCCAGCCAAGCUAGGGAAGGGCAGGGCGGGAGAGCGGGAAGCUGGGCCUCUUGCUUUUCUUUCACAUUCCCAGCAUGGUAGAUGGGUGUGGACAUCAAUCCGAAGCCCACUUCCUUUCGAGGGAUCAACAGGAUGUCUCAUCACCGCGCAAAUGCGGCUGCCCCUGUUUAACCCCAUCACAGCCUGGUGCUUCAGGAUCCCUCAAAGUCCAGGGUCAAGGCCCAUUCUCUCCCUGGAUCCUGCCUUCCCUGCUCCACCGGCUCCCUUCUCCAGCCCAACUCCAUUCCUUUCAAAGGGUCUUGUUCCCUGGAGCCUGCCAGCACCGAUCCUGUGUUCCCUAGGAGUCCGGAAGAGAUGUGAGCUUGAAAGAUGGGCAGAAGUGACAAAGGGAGACACAAGGCAGAGAGAGGAGCAGAAGCAGGAAUACAGGACACAGCAGACCCUCGAGCUUGGCGGGACACAGGAUCCUGCUCUGCAACAUCCACUUCCUGCUCCCGAUCUCCCUGAAGGGGCUGCUGCUCGUGGGCCUGCUCUGCACUGUGCUGCAAGUGAGCAGUGCUAAGGGGGCCUCCAGGGGGAAAUAAAGUCACAGCCUGAGCCGGGGAACCGCAGCUCCCACACCAUCAACACCCUCAGAGGGGGCAAGCAGAACCUCUGGCCUCCUAUCAGGCCUCCUUUCCUUGUGGCUCCAGGAUGACCCUGUCAGAGAUAAUGGACUAUCGUUCAGUUGCAGAGGCCCCAGGGCCCGUCUGGACUUUUCCAUCCCAAGAGGGGCUCAGCUCUAUCCCCUUUGUGCCUGUGACACUCUCCAUCCCCCACCCGGCUCAGAACUGGCACAGCCACCACCAACCACUCCUGAUUCAACCCAAGCUUGGCCCUUUCCACCUCUCAAACUGUGCAACAGCAAAUGCAGGAUGCUCAGCCCUCAUGUGUCAGUCCCCCCAAUUCACUUGUAAUUAAAUAACAACACACCUCUUUUUCUAAUUUUCAAAGGUAUAUCUAUUUCCCCUCAAUAAAGUUGUUAG